UACGUAGGGGGCAAGCGUUGUCCGGAUUUAUUGGGUUUAAAGGGUGCGUAGGCGGCCUUUUAAGUCAGUGCUGAAAUAUCCCGGCUUAACCGGGAGGGUGGCAUUGAUACUGUAGGGCUUGAGUGUAGUCGAGGUAGGCGGAAUUGACGGUGUAGCGGUGAAAUGCUUAGAUAUCGUCAAGAACACCGAUAGUGUAGACAGCUUACUAGGCUACAACUGACGCUGAGGCACGAAAGUGUGGGGAGCAAACAGG
This 253-nucleotide ribosomal RNA is filed under the name uncultured bacterium. RNAcentral describes it as "partial 16S ribosomal RNA". It matches the Rfam family "Bacterial small subunit ribosomal RNA", at positions 524 to 776 of the family's 1533-position model. The record is from RNAcentral.